GUGCUUGCUUCGGCAGCACACAUAGUAAAAUUGGAACAAUACAGAGAUUAGCAUGGCCCCUGCAUGAGGAUGACACGCAAAUUCGUGAAGCAUUCCAUACAUGU
This 104-nucleotide small nuclear RNA is filed under the name Pan paniscus (pygmy chimpanzee). The record is from RNAcentral. Lineage: Eukaryota; Metazoa; Chordata; Mammalia; Primates; Hominidae.